GAAAAAGUAUGCAAGAACUGCUAACUCUUAUGCCCCCGUGCAUAAUAGCACGGCUUUUUCG
RNAcentral lists this transfer RNA (61 nucleotides) under Dama dama (fallow deer). Its description in RNAcentral is "tRNA-Ser". Lineage: Eukaryota; Metazoa; Chordata; Mammalia; Artiodactyla; Cervidae. The record is from RNAcentral.